UCUUAAUUUGCCUCAAAACAUCACCGGGGCGAAAUGCUUCUGUGGAUUUAUUUUGUUUUAUUUUCAGCAGCCAUCAGAGAUGUCCAAUCAGAGAUUCAACUGGGAGAAUCUGGAGGGGACGUAAAAAGGCCAGGAGAGUCCCUCCGCCUCACCUGCCGAACCUCUGGCUUCACCUUCAGCAGCUACAACAUGAACUGGGUGCGACAGGUUCCUGGAAAGGGAUUGGAAUGGGUUGCCUUUAUUGCUACCACUACUAUAUACUAUGCAGACUCAGUGAAGGGUCGAUUUACUAUCUCCAGGGACAAUUCCAUCAGCACACUCUACUUGCAGAUGAGUGGUUUGAAGGUGGAAGAUUCAGGCUUGUACUACUGUGCUAGAGACACAGUGACUGAAAAGCUAGCAGUCAGCGGACAAAAUCUUCGGUCUUCUUGA
This is a non-coding RNA of Lacerta agilis (Sand lizard), 432 nucleotides long. The record is from the annotation of a RefSeq genome assembly. Lineage: Eukaryota; Metazoa; Chordata; Lepidosauria; Squamata; Lacertidae.